Molecule: non-coding RNA, 318 nt
Organism: Paralichthys olivaceus (Japanese flounder)
Lineage: Eukaryota; Metazoa; Chordata; Actinopteri; Pleuronectiformes; Paralichthyidae
Source: RefSeq, a predicted model, not a curated record
GAUCUCAAUCCCUUGAUAAAUAAAAGUGCUUUGCCAUGUCCUGAGCUGGCACCAGUGAAGAUUGCACAGCCUUCCGUAGAUCUGGAUAAUGGCCCAUGUGUACCACGGAUCACCCCCACCCAACCACCUCCUAAAACAAUGCCUCCUAAAACAACGCAUCCUAAAACAAUGCCUCCUAAAACAACCGAUGACAAAAGCAUUUUUGGCUUCUCUCCUGCAAUGGUGGCUYCUCCUGUCCUCACCCUCCUGCUCGCACUGAUGCUGUCAAUUCCAUGAUGGACAGGACCAGCAAUUUGCCUUGGUGGUUUUUUAUAUUAA